CUUUACUGUAGCCUGGUAUUGGGUUCGGGCUUUGACUGCGCAGGAUAGGUGGGAGACUAUGAAGCUGCCCUUGUGGGGGCAGUGGAGUCAUCAGUGAGAUACCACUCUGUCAAGGCUAGAAUUCUAACCGUCUGCAGUUAUCCGGCGACGGAACAGUAUCAGGUAGGCAGUUUGACUGGGGCGGUCGCCUCCUAAAUGGUAACGGAGGCGCGCAAAGGUUCCCUCAGGCUGGUUGGAAAUCAGCCGAAGAGUGUAAAGGCAGAAGGGAGCUUGACUGCAAGAGCAACAACUCAAGCAGGGACGAAAGUCGGCCUUAGUGAUCCGACGGCGCUGAGUGGAAGGGCCGUCGCUCAACGGAUAAAAGUUA
Molecule: ribosomal RNA, 367 nt
Filed under: uncultured organism
Description: bacterial LSU rRNA
Rfam family: Bacterial large subunit ribosomal RNA
Source: RNAcentral